AGUCGANCGCAGUAGCAAUACUGAGUGGCAGACGGGUGAGUAACAUGUGGGAAUCUGCCUUGUGGUUCAGGACAACAUUGGGCAACCGAUGCUAAUACUGGAUAAGCCCUUACGGGGAAAGUUUUAAUGCCAUAAGAUGAGCCCGCAUUUGAUUAGUUAGUUGGUGAGGUAAUGGCUCACCAAGACAAUGAUCAAUAGCUGAUCUGAGAGGAUGAUCAGCCACACUGGGACUGAGACACGGCCCAGACUCCUACGGGAGGCAGCAGUGGGGAAUCUUGCACAAUGGAGGAAACUCUGAUGCAGCGAUGCCGCGUGAGUGAAGAAGGCCUUUGGGUUGUAAAGCUCUUUUGUAGGGGAAGAUAAUGACUGUACCCUAAGAAUAAGGUCCGGCUAACUUCGUGCCAGCAGCCGCGGUAAUACGAAGGGACCUAGCGUAGUUCGGAAUUACUGGGCGUAAAGCGCGCGUAGGCCGUUGAGUUAGUUAAUUGUGAAAUCCCAAAGCUUAACUUUGGAACUGCAAUUAAAACUGCUCGACUAGUGUUUGAUAGAGGAAAGCGGAAUACAUAGUGUAGAGGUGAAAUUCGUAGAUAUUAUGUAGAACACCAGUUGCGAAGGCGGCUUUCUGGAUCAACACUGACGCUGAGGCGCGAAAGUAUGGGUAGCAAAGAGGAUUAGAUACCCUCGUAGUCCAUACCAUAAACGAUGAUUGCUAGAUGUUGGAAAUUUAUUUUCANUAUCGCAGCUAACGCAUUAAGCAAUCCGCCNGGGGAGUACGACCGCAAGGUUAAAACUCAAAUGAAUUGACGGGGANCCGCACAAGCGGUGGANCAUGUGGUUUANNUCGAUGAUACGCGAGGAACCUUACCUGGGCUAGA
Molecule: ribosomal RNA, 875 nt
Filed under: uncultured bacterium
Lineage: Bacteria
Description: bacterial SSU rRNA
Rfam family: Bacterial small subunit ribosomal RNA
Source: RNAcentral